GUUCUUAUGGUUGAAUUACAACGGUGGUUUUUCAGAUCACAGGUCUUGUGUGUAGCAAGUAGG
This 63-nucleotide transfer RNA is filed under the name Indotyphlops braminus (Brahminy blind snake). RNAcentral describes it as "tRNA-Glu". The record is from RNAcentral. Lineage: Eukaryota; Metazoa; Chordata; Lepidosauria; Squamata; Typhlopidae.